UACAGAGGUCUCAAGCGUUGUUCGGAUUCAUUGGGCGUAAAGGGUGCGUAGGCUGUGAGGUAAGUCUGGUGUGAAAUCCCGGGGCUCAACCCCGGAACUGCACUGGAUACUGCUUUACUAGAGCACUGGAGAGGGAACUGGAAUUUACGGUGUAGCAGUGAAAUGCGCAGAUAUCAGGAGGAACACCGGUGGCGAAGGCGGGUCUCUGGGCCGUAACUGACGCUGAGGAGCGAAAGCGUGGGGAGCGAACAGG
RNAcentral lists this ribosomal RNA (253 nucleotides) under uncultured bacterium. RNAcentral's name for it is "partial 16S ribosomal RNA". It matches the Rfam family "Bacterial small subunit ribosomal RNA", at positions 524 to 776 of the family's 1533-position model. The record is from RNAcentral.